CCUACGGGAGGCAGCAGUAGGGAAUCUUCCACAAUGGGCGAAAGCCUGAUGGAGCAACGCCGCGUGAGUGAUGAAGGCCUUCGGGUUGUAAAACUCUGUCAUUCGGGACGAACCGGAGUCUGAGGAAAUGCAGACUCUCUGACGGUACCGGAGGAGGAAGCCCCGGCUAACUACGUGCCAGCAGCCGCGGUAAUACGUAGGGGGCAAGCGUUGUCCGGAUUCACUGGGCGUAAAGCGCGCGCAGGCGGUGAUGUAAGUCUGAGGUGAAAACCCGAAGCUCAACUUCGGGACUGCCUUGGAUACUGCGUCACUUGAGGAUAGGAGAGGCAAGGGGAAUUCCACGUGUAGCGGUGAAAUGCGUAGAGAUGUGGAGGAACACCUGUGGCGAAGGCGCCUUGCUGGCCUAUUUCUGACGCUGAGGCGCGAAAGCGUGGGGAGCAAACAGGAUUAGAUACCCUGGUAGUCCACGCUGUAAACGAUGAGUGCUAGGUGUAGGUGGGCUCAUACCCAUCUGUGCCGAAGCUAACGCAUUAAGCACUCCGCCCUGGGGAGUACGGUCGCGAAGACUGAAACUUAAAGGAAAUUAGA
RNAcentral lists this ribosomal RNA (588 nucleotides) under uncultured bacterium. RNAcentral describes it as "bacterial SSU rRNA". It matches the Rfam family "Bacterial small subunit ribosomal RNA", at positions 338 to 915 of the family's 1533-position model. The record is from RNAcentral.